This 1173-nucleotide long non-coding RNA is filed under the name Nicotiana tabacum (common tobacco). RNAcentral describes it as "long non-coding RNA (NTAB_LNC015625)". The record is from RNAcentral. Lineage: Eukaryota; Viridiplantae; Streptophyta; Magnoliopsida; Solanales; Solanaceae.
AAAAAAUUCAGAAACCUAAAACGGCUGCUUCCCAAAAAGAAAUUCGAAAAAUAGCUUGUUAUUCUGGAGGUUCUCUAGGCAACUACUGAAAAUUUUGUUAGGAUUUUGGUUAUUCUGAAUAGUCCAGUUAAAAUCAUUGAAGCUGAGAUAGUUUUUUUCUGAUUCUGGGCUGAAAAUGAGUUGAGUUCUGGGUAUUUUUUAAAGCUGGUUUGGACUUGUUGUUGAGAAAUACUUUCUCAUUGCUGAUUUGAGCUGAUUUCACUAUUCCAUUGGCUCUAUUGGUGCUGAUAUCUGCUGUUAUUACUGCUGAUAUUUCACUUUCUUUUGGUUUUGCUGUUCAAUAUCAGGUACAUGGCUUGAAUAUUAUUUAAUGUAGAACUGUAUUGGAAGAAAAUGAAAUGGAAAUCAAGAUUUAAAGUGUAGAAGUCGAUUUUCUUGUGUUUCUACAACAUUUCCUCGCUUUCAUGUCUUUCAUAAUGUGAUUCCUAGUAUAUUAGGUGAUUUGGAAUUUGAAAUAGUUGUCUUUCAUGCUUGUAUUUGAUUUGGAAUCCUGGAGAUGCUAUGAUAGAAGAUUUGGUCUGGAUUUCUGUAUUUUAAAUGCACUUUCUUUUGGCUAUAGCAAUGGUCAUGCUUAUUGAAGAUUGUAAUCUAGAUUGGUUGCAAUGGCUAUGUAUAGGAUAGGGAUAAAAUGAUAACAUUUUAUAUGCUAUUUGGAGGACAACAAGAAAAGUUAUUUUGCUGUAAAACAUUCUGCUCAUGAACCUGUGCUGAAAGUGAUCUUAAUAGUUUGUUAAUGUUGUUUGAAAUUGACAUGAGCCACCUUAGGAUUCUAUGCUUUGAUAAGUCUUUGUGGGUUUCUUCGCCGUCGCAUAUAUUUAAAGAAGCAAUUUAAGCUUAAGUAUUUGCCAAACUCUUAUUGAAUCUGCUGAAGACUUAUGUGGUAAAUGGUCUAAUGAUUACAUGGUAUGGAAAGCCAUGUUAGGUACAGCCUGCAUUUCAAAGCUGGUAUGUUGCUCCAUUAAAGACUCGAUCUCGAGUUUUAUCGCUCAGCUCUCACACUUUUGGGCCUACCUUGGGUCUGGAACGGAAAUCAGCUCAUGCUUCUUCACAUGAAAGACCAGUUGGUUGAGCCCAAGGCUCUUUUGGGUGUUGCUUUCUAAUGUCCCCUCUUAC